AAACUUUCAACAACGGAUCUCUUGGUUCUGGCAUCGAUGAAGAACGCAGCGAAAUGCGAUAAGUAAUGUGAAUUGCAGAAUUCCGUGAAUCAUCGAAUCUUUGAACGCACAUUGCGCCCUUUGGUAUUCCGAAGGGCAUGCCUGUUCGAGCGUCAUUG
This 158-nucleotide ribosomal RNA is filed under the name Physcia stellaris. RNAcentral describes it as "5.8S ribosomal RNA". It matches the Rfam family "5.8S ribosomal RNA". From Rfam's summary of the family: 5.8S ribosomal RNA (5.8S rRNA) is a component of the large subunit of the eukaryotic ribosome. It is transcribed by RNA polymerase I as part of the 45S precursor that also contains 18S and 28S rRNA. Lineage: Eukaryota; Fungi; Ascomycota; Lecanoromycetes; Caliciales; Physciaceae. The record is from RNAcentral.